CGGGGUGCAGCAGGCGCGAAACCUCUGCAAUAGGCGAAAGCCUGACAGGGUUACUCUGAGUGAUUCCCGCUAAGGGGAUCUUUUGGCACCUCUAAAAAUGGUGCAGAAUAAGGGGUGGGCAAGCCUGGUGUCAGCCGCCGCGGUAAUACCAGCACCCCGAGUGGUCGGGACGAUUAUUGGGCCUAAAGCAUCCGUAGCCGGCCACGCAAGUCCUCCGUUAAAUCCACCCGCUCAACGGUUGGGCUGCGGAGGAUACUACGUGGCUAGGAGGCGGGAGAGGCAAGCGGUACUCAAUGGGUAGGGGUAAAAUCCUUUGAUCCAUUGAAGACCACCAGUGGCGAAGGCGGCUUGCCAGAACGCGCUCGACGGUGAGGGAUGAAAGCUGGGGGAGCAAACCGGAUUAGAUACCCGGGUAGUCCCAGCUGUAAACGAUGCAGACUCGGUGAUGGGAUGGCCUCGAGCCAUCCCAGUGCCGCAGGGAAGCCGUUAAGUCUGCCGCCUGGGGAGUACGGUCGCAAGACGGAAACUUAAAGGAAUUGGCGGGGGAGCAC
Molecule: ribosomal RNA, 551 nt
Filed under: uncultured archaeon
Lineage: Archaea
Description: bacterial SSU rRNA
Rfam family: Archaeal small subunit ribosomal RNA
Source: RNAcentral